Meriones unguiculatus (Mongolian gerbil) is the source of this 107-nucleotide small nuclear RNA. NCBI's taxonomy places the organism in Eukaryota, Metazoa, Chordata, Mammalia, Rodentia, Muridae. The record is from Ensembl.
GUGCUCACUUUGGCAGUAAAUAAAUUAAAAUUUCAACAAUACAGAGAACAUUAGCAUGGCCCCUGUGCAAGGCUAGCAAAAAAAAUCCUGUAGUGUUCCAUAUUUUU